This 87-nucleotide transfer RNA is filed under the name Solidesulfovibrio magneticus. RNAcentral describes it as "tRNA-Leu". It matches the Rfam family "tRNA". Rfam says of the family: Transfer RNA (tRNA) molecules are approximately 80 nucleotides in length. Their secondary structure includes four short double-helical elements and three loops (D, anti-codon, and T loops). RNAcentral also lists the same sequence under 7 other names. The record is from RNAcentral. Lineage: Bacteria; Pseudomonadati; Thermodesulfobacteriota; Desulfovibrionia; Desulfovibrionales; Desulfovibrionaceae.
GCCCGAGUGGCGGAACUGGUAGACGCCAGGGACUUAAAAUCCCUUGUUCUUCGGGACGUGCCGGUUCGAUUCCGGCCUCGGGCACCA